RNAcentral lists this unclassified non-coding RNA (349 nucleotides) under soil metagenome. RNAcentral describes it as "partial contains 5.8S ribosomal RNA, internal transcribed spacer 2, and large subunit ribosomal RNA". The stretch from base 1 to 120 matches the Rfam family "5.8S ribosomal RNA", at positions 35 to 154 of the family's 154-position model. The record is from RNAcentral.
GAUGAAGAACGUAGCGAAAUGCGAUAACUAAUGUGAAUUGCAGAAUUCCGUGAAUCAUCGAGUCUUUGAACGCACAUUGCGCCCCCUGGUAUUCCGGGGGGCAUGCCUGUCCGAGCGUCAUUGCUGCCCAUCAAGCACGGCUUGUGUGUUGGGUCCUCGUCCCCCCCGGGGGACGGGCCCGAAAGGCAGCGGCGGCACCGCGUCCGGUCCUCGAGCGUAUGGGGCUUUGUCACCCGCUCUGCAGGCCCGGCCGGCGCUGGCCGACGCGAAAGCAACCAUUUUUUCUCCAGGUUGACCUCGGAUCAGGUAGGGAUACCCGCUGAACUUAAGCAUAUCAAUAAGCGGAGGA